This 585-nucleotide unclassified non-coding RNA is filed under the name Brassica rapa (field mustard). Its description in RNAcentral is "partial SAN1". The record is from RNAcentral. Lineage: Eukaryota; Viridiplantae; Streptophyta; Magnoliopsida; Brassicales; Brassicaceae.
CCGAUCUCACUUCGUGGUUGACGGUGAGGGUCUCUUUCUUGUUGAUUUAUAUUUCUCAUCAAUUUCGACGAUCAGAACCGUCUUUGUUGUCAACUUUUUAGAUUCGUCGGUGUGAAGUGUACUUGCUGUAGAGGUGUCUAUUAGACCUUUCCAAUAUUUACCAUGGAUUGGGCGAGCGUUUCGAGACGAAACGUAUUUGAUUUGCAGGUUUUCUCUUGCAAGGAGGUGAUCAGUUUUAGCUAUGCAGAUCGCUAUUCUGCCUAACGAGUAUCCGUAGAGAAUCAAGAACUUCAGGGAAAGUUAGGUUUUUCUGGUUUUUCUCUGAUUACAAAAAUCGACGGUGUGAAUUUCGGUUCCUACAGUCAUGAUUAUGCGGGAUGCUUCAACUUCAAGUUACUCUUGUCUGCCAUUUUACCUUGUUCAUCAAACAAAAUCAGUUUAAAAAGAACAAGAUUAUAUGAACUAAAGGAACAUCGAUUACUUCAAAGAGUACACAACCGACACAAGCGAUUACUGUUUAUAUUCAAGACUUCAUUACAUUCAAUAAAAAAACUAAAUCAUUAGGUAGAUCCUCUCAUAUCUUAC